Molecule: ribosomal RNA, 460 nt
Filed under: uncultured bacterium
Lineage: Bacteria
Description: SSU rRNA
Rfam family: Bacterial small subunit ribosomal RNA
Source: RNAcentral
AGAAUCAACGCUGGCGGCGUGCCUAACACAUGCAAGUCGAACGAGAAAGUGGAGCAAUCCACAAGUAAAGUGGCGCACGGGUGAGUAACACGUGACUAACCUACCCUUGAGUGGGGGAUAACCUAGAGAAAUCUGGGCUAAUACCGCAUAAUACCUUCGAGUCAAAGGAGCAAUUCGCUUAAGGAGGGGGUCGCGGCCGAUUAGUUAGUUGGCGGGGUAAUGGCCCACCAAGACUAUGAUCGGUAUCCGGCCUGAGAGGGCGCACGGACACACUGGAACUGAAACACGGUCCAGACUCCUACGGGAGGCAGCAGUGGGGAAUUUUGCGCAAUGGGGGAAACCCUGACGCAGCAACGCCGCGUGGAGGAUGAAGCCCCUUGGGGCGUAAACUCCUUUCGAUCGGGACGAUAAUGACGGUACCGAGAGAAGAAGCCCCGGCUAACUUCGUGCCAGCAGCCGC